Lontra canadensis (Northern American river otter) is the source of this 175-nucleotide small nucleolar RNA. RefSeq annotates it as small nucleolar RNA SNORA81. Lineage: Eukaryota; Metazoa; Chordata; Mammalia; Carnivora; Mustelidae. The record is from RefSeq and is a predicted model, not a curated record. The transcript has a single exon.
ACCUUCUUACUUAAGCUCUCUACUAAAAUUGCAGAAACUAGUAUCAUGUCUUUGUAUUGGUAAUAAAACCAGCAGAAUAAACUCAAGAAGAAAAGUAACUAUAUCAGAUAGUAGAAAAACUGAAAUGAACCUCUUAAGUCUGGCAUACUUUGUUUGAAGAUUUGGGAUGAGAAUA